UACGUAGGGGGCAAGCGUUAUCCGGAUCUACUGGGUGUAAAGGGAGCGUAGACGGCAGAGCAAGUCUGAAGUGAAAGCCCGCGGCCUAACUGCGGGACUGCUUUGGAAACUGCCCGGCUAGAGUGCUGGAGAGGUAAGCGGAAUUCCUAGUGUAGCGGUGAAAUGCGUAGAUAUUAGGAGGAACACCAGUGGCGAAGGCGGCUUACUGGACAGUAACUGACGUUGAGGCUCGAAAGCGUGGGGAGCAAACAGG
This 253-nucleotide ribosomal RNA is filed under the name uncultured bacterium. Its description in RNAcentral is "partial 16S ribosomal RNA". It matches the Rfam family "Bacterial small subunit ribosomal RNA", at positions 524 to 776 of the family's 1533-position model. The record is from RNAcentral.